Molecule: non-coding RNA, 1288 nt
Organism: Anas platyrhynchos (mallard)
Lineage: Eukaryota; Metazoa; Chordata; Aves; Anseriformes; Anatidae
Source: RefSeq, a predicted model, not a curated record
GAGCAUUCCACAGAGCUCCCUCCGUGCUGCCUGCCCCCACCUCAGCCCAGACCUGCUGGGACCACUUCUGAUGCCAGCUGUCUCUGUAGCCCAUUCAGCUCCACAUCGCUCGUUUGAGACUGCCAACUGGGGUGCUAAUUAGCACCAGUUGCAGCAGACAGCCUUUUGCUGAUGUGGGCAAGAAUCCAUUGGGAAUGUGCUGGAGACCACCAACUCAAUUUGCAGAGAUAUUUUUAUUUUAAUGUUUUUGCUAUCCUCGAUACCUUGAGCUGUUUAGUUAAAGGAAUCCUCCUAGGAGUUGUGCGGGAAUAUAUGCAUACCUAUAGAAAAACCCAGGCAUUAUGCACACCGAAUGCAUAUCGCAGGCUAAUUAUAAUUUCCCUGCAGAUGCCAAUCAGAACAAGUUAAAGCCAUUGAGAGGAGGAGAAAAAAAAAUGCAUCUGUGGUUUGCAAGGGCAACCAAGAGAGAGAGAAAGAAGAGAAAAAAGAUCCCUUCUGGCCUAUGCUCAACUGCUGUAUGCCCCUCAGCUGAAAUGGAAAGCAAAUAUUCCCAGAAUCUGUUCAAUUCAAACAAACCAGUUGGCCAGCACCAGCCUUAGGGAAAGAGUUAACUGGAACGGUAGGAAUAAUUCCAGUGGCUGGAUAGAUGGGUCCUUGUGUCUCCUCUGGAGCCCAGCUCGCGUCUCCCCCUCGAUCUACAGGCCAUGCUCCUACUCGUGUUCUUCUCCACAAGCAUUUUCCUGCCUGAAAGUUGCAGUUCAUGAUCCUCCAGGGAUCCAGUGCAGCCAACAGCCCUUAUUCAGCAAAUGAACCAAGCUGAAAUACUUGCUCAGCUUCCACUGGGUUUGAUCAGAUUGAAGGAGGGGAGGGGUAGAAGUUAAUAGGGAUGGAAAGCAUCUGUCUUAUUUCUCCUUUUCUGAAGAGGAGUCAGAGCUGUUGCCUUUCCACGUGACUCCUGUGUUUAUUAUAGACCCAAAGUGGGAAAGUGUCUGUGCGUUAAGUCCCAAGAUCAAUCACAGCACAAGAUAACAUUUAAAAUAACUGCACCUAUUUUUGUUUGCAUUUAGGUCACUCCUACAAGGUCACUACUUGAAUCCCUACCUUUUGCAGGGCAUGUCAGCUCUUGCAGCUCCUUCCAUACAUCAGGGUGCAUGUCCAGCAAAGUCCCAGCCUGCCUACAGCACACUUUGCUCUUUAACCCUACAAAGAGAUGUUUUCCUCCUAGGUUCAACCUCUGUUCCCACCCUACAUCCUCUCACAGCCCAUCUUUAUCAGAUGACAAACCUGG